This is a non-coding RNA of Paramisgurnus dabryanus, 1801 nucleotides long. Lineage: Eukaryota; Metazoa; Chordata; Actinopteri; Cypriniformes; Cobitidae. The record is from RefSeq and is a predicted model, not a curated record.
ACCCGCCAUUAAAACUCUAAAGAAGAAGGUGCUGUGCACGGGCUCAUUUGACUACGCAUAGUACUGUAUUAGAGGUAAAAAAAAAUUAUAUAAAUACUGUUCGGCUUCUCGCACAAACCGAUCGUUUCGUUUCUUAGGAUAUCAAUGUGUCGUCACGAGCGGCAGGGUUUAAUUUGGAUUUGUCUGUGCAUGUUUUUACUGUCUGAGAUUUUGUUACUAUUCACAUGCAUACAGACUGAAACGGUUGGAGUUUCUACAUUUGUGUUGUACUGAAGAAACAAAAUCACAUACAUCUUGGAUGGCCUCGGGACCCUUUUGCCAGUAUGAAGCCGAUUUCAACGGUAACUGCAGAAAGCGUCAGCACGCUCAGCUCAUCACUGGAGUAACGUCUGUACAACGGGUGAGAUAAAACUCAACGCCUGACUGAAUCAUCCAUUCCCUUUUCGAUCCUACGCCAUACGUUAAACUUGAGCACACCACCCAUACAUGGCACACAAAACAGGUCUUGUGAGGGGGCUGUGCCCACAGGUAGAAAUUCUGUGGGUCCACGGGCUUCUCCCCUUUCAGCGAACAUCACAGCGCUUAGUCCACCAUCGUGGUCUCCAAUCUCCAUUACCAACAGCCUGAGUGCUACACCUACAGACACCCCAACCCAUGCAGCAGCUGGCAGAAGUCAGACAUCAGGCCAAACUGGAUUUCAACACACCCCACCCUUACAUGGCACACAAGUAUAUGACACACAACACAGGUCUUCUCAGGAGGCUGUGCCUACAGCAAUAGGCUUUACGCCCAGCUGCACUACUUCCUGAACUUCAGCCAGCUCCUUGUUUCCUGUCUGCCAUUAUUGGACAAACUGAUUAAUCCAGGUGUGCCUGAGCUUAGUAGUCACAACAACAAUAAUCAGACACACCUGGAUUUAUCAGUUUGUCCAGUAAUGGCAGACAGGAAACAAGGAGCUUAAAGCCUAUUGCUAAGGAGAUCCUCAUCCAGCUCGAUUUUAUUAGAGAGCAGCAGUUGCAGACUUCAUCCCAGACCCAACACAUUUUGGGCUGCCACUUUCAACUAUUGAGGAGCUACAAUGUUUGUAGGAGACAUUAAAUAAUCCAGAUGAGAAGAAGAAUUUGGUGAGACUGUUUUUCCUGGAAUGGUCGGAGACAAGACUCUUAAAGACACCGUGGGGUGGGUCCUGAAAAAAACAAUGAACUCUUCGUGGUGAGACUCAUCAAUUGAAGUGGGGUCAACUGAACGCCUGCAUUCAAAGGGCUCACUUUGAAAAGUGUGGUUUUGGAUGCAGUCCGCCGGAAUGCCCUGACCAAAGAUAACACAGAAAAGGAGAUAGAGCUCCUCAUCACCAGGUGGUCGGUGCUAGCAUAUGACAGGGAUGGUGGCCAAAUCCAGACAAUAGACAGACAAUGAAUUAAAAUGUUUUAAAUUUAAAAAUGUUGAUUUUUGGAAAAUUCGUAUUUGAACUGAUUGUGUGUGUGUGUGCACCUGGUAAUUAUCACGUUGUGUCCCCACAAAGAUAGGAAUACCAGUAUUUUUGUGACCUUGUGUCCCCAUGAGGAAACAAGCUUAUAAAUCAAACAAAAUGAUGUUUCUUGUAAAUGUGAAGUAGGAGAAGGGUUUCUGUGAUGGUUGGGUUUAGGGAAUGGGGUAGGUAAGGGGAAUAAAAUAUACAGUUUGUAUGGUAUAAAAUGCAUUACGUCUAUGGAAUGUCCCCACAAAACAUGGAAACCUGUUUGUGUGUACGAGAGAGAGAGAAUGUGUGUUCAAGUGAAUAAAAAAUGCAUUAAACGUGAAA